This 26-nucleotide long non-coding RNA is filed under the name dengue virus type 1. RNAcentral describes it as "dengue virus type I partial sfRNA1". The record is from RNAcentral. Lineage: Riboviria; Orthornavirae; Kitrinoviricota; Flasuviricetes; Amarillovirales; Flaviviridae.
GAGAAGUCAGGCCAAAUUAAGCCAUA